GUCCUCUUAGUUUAAUGGAUAGAACCUGCGCCUCCGGAGCGCAAGAUAGCAGUUCGAUUCUGCUAGAGGGCACCA
RNAcentral lists this transfer RNA (75 nucleotides) under Phascolarctobacterium sp. Its description in RNAcentral is "tRNA-Arg". It matches the Rfam family "tRNA". Rfam says of the family: Transfer RNA (tRNA) molecules are approximately 80 nucleotides in length. Their secondary structure includes four short double-helical elements and three loops (D, anti-codon, and T loops). Further hydrogen bonds mediate the characteristic L-shaped molecular structure. tRNAs have two regions of fundamental functional importance: the anti-codon, which is responsible for specific mRNA codon recognition, and the 3' end, to which the tRNAs corresponding amino acid is attached (by aminoacyl-tRNA synthetases). tRNAs cope with the degeneracy of the genetic code in two manners: having more than one tRNA (with a specific anti-codon) for a particular amino acid; and 'wobble' base-pairing, i.e. permitting non-standard base-pairing at the 3rd anti-codon position. Lineage: Bacteria; Bacillati; Bacillota; Negativicutes; Acidaminococcales; Acidaminococcaceae. The record is from RNAcentral.